RNAcentral lists this ribosomal RNA (678 nucleotides) under uncultured Actinomycetes bacterium. RNAcentral describes it as "SSU rRNA". It matches the Rfam family "Bacterial small subunit ribosomal RNA", at positions 245 to 915 of the family's 1533-position model. Lineage: Bacteria; Bacillati; Actinomycetota; Actinomycetes. The record is from RNAcentral.
CUUGUUGGUGGGGUAACGGCCUACCAAGGCGACGAUGGGUAGCUGGUCUGAGAGGAUGAUCAGCCACACUGGGACUGAGACACGGCCCAGACUCCUACGGGAGGCAGCAGUGGGGAAUCUUGCGCAAUGGGCGAAAGCCUGACGCAGCAACGCCGCGUGCGGGAUGAAGGCCUUAGGGUCGUAAACCGCUUUCAGGGGGGACGAAGCCACCUAGGUUAAUAGCCCAAGGGGUGACGGUACCUUCAGAAGAAGCCCCGGCUAACUACGUGCCAGCAGCCGCGGUAAUACGUAGGGGGCGAGCGUUGUCCGGAAUCAUUGGGCGUAAAGCGCGCGUAGGCGGCUUGGCAAGUCUUGCGUGAAAUCCUGCGGCUCAACCGCAGGCCUGCGCGGGAUACUGCCUCGCUAGAGUCCGGAAGAGGAGAGUGGAAUUCCCAGUGUAGCGGUGGAAUGCGCAGAUAUUGGGAGGAACACCUGUGGCGAAGGCGGCUCUCUGGGACGGUACUGACGCUGAGACGCGAAAGCGUGGGGAGCGAACAGGAUUAGAUACCCUGGUAGUCCACGCCGUAAACGAUGGGCGCUAGGUGUGGGCGGUGUCGACUCCGUCCGUGCCGAAGCUAACGCAUUAAGCGCCCCGCCUGGGGAGUACGGUCGCAAGACUAAAACUCAAAGGAAUUGACG